This 241-nucleotide unclassified non-coding RNA is filed under the name uncultured fungus. Its description in RNAcentral is "partial contains 18S rRNA, ITS1, 5.8S rRNA, ITS2 and 28S rRNA". The record is from RNAcentral. Lineage: Eukaryota; Fungi.
AAGGAUCAUUACCGAAUUGUCAACACGAGUUGUUGCUGGUCCUCAAAACGGGGGCAUGUGCACGCUCUGUUUACACAUCCACUCACACCUGUGCACCCUCUGUAGUUCCGUGGCAUGGGGGACUCUGUCCUCCCGUUGUGGUCCUACGUCUUUACACACACUCUGUAACAAAGUCUCAUGGAAUGCAUGACGCGUUUAACGCAAUACAAUACAACUUUCAACAACGGAUCUCUUGGUUCUG